UACAGAGGUCCCGAGCGUUGUUCGGAUUCAUUGGGCGUAAAGGGUGCGUAGGCGGCGGGGUAAGUCUGAUGUGAAAUCCCGGGGCUCAACCCUGGAACUGCAUUGGAUACUGCCUUGCUUGAGAACUGGAGAGGAGACUGGAGUUUACGGUGUAGCAGUGAAAUGCGUAGAUAUCGUCUGGAACGCCGAAGGUGAAAACAGCUCGCUGGGGCCGCGCUGACGCUGAGACACGAAAGCCAGGGGAGCGAACGGG
This 253-nucleotide ribosomal RNA is filed under the name uncultured bacterium. Its description in RNAcentral is "partial 16S ribosomal RNA". It matches the Rfam family "Bacterial small subunit ribosomal RNA", at positions 524 to 776 of the family's 1533-position model. The record is from RNAcentral.